CCCAGUAAACGGCGGCCGUAACUAUAACGGUCCUAAGGUAGCGAAAUUCCUUGUCGGGUAAGUUCCGACCCGCACGAAAGGCGUAACGAUUUGGGCACUGUCUCAACGAGAGACUCGGUGAAAUCAUAGUACCUGUGAAGAUGCAGGUUACCCGCGACAGGACGGAAAGACCCCGUGGAGCUUUACUGUAGCCUGAUAUUGAAAUUCGGCACAGCUUGUACAGGAUAGGUAGGAGCCUUUGAAACGUGAGCGCUAGCUUACGUGGAGGCGCUGGUGGGAUACUACCCUAGCUGUGUUGGCUUUCUAACCCGCACCACUUAUCGUGGUGGGAGACAGUGUCAGGCGGGCAGUUUGACUGGGGCGGUCGCCUCCUAAAAGGUAACGGAGGCGCUCAAAGGUUCCCUCAGAAUGGUUGGAAAUCAUUCAUAGAGUGUAAAGGCAUAAGGGAGCUUGACUGCGAGACCUACAAGUCGAGCAGGGUCGAAAGACGGACUUAGUGAUCCGGUGGUUCCGCAUGGAAGGGCCAUCGCUCAACGGAUAAAAGCUACCC
RNAcentral lists this ribosomal RNA (550 nucleotides) under Staphylococcus aureus. RNAcentral's name for it is "partial 23S ribosomal RNA". It matches the Rfam family "Bacterial large subunit ribosomal RNA", at positions 1919 to 2468 of the family's 2925-position model. Lineage: Bacteria; Bacillati; Bacillota; Bacilli; Caryophanales; Staphylococcaceae. The record is from RNAcentral.